UACGUAGGGACCGAGCGUUGUCCGGGGUCAUUGGGCGUAAAGAGCGUGUAGGCGGCUGACCAAGUCCUGCGUGAAAUCUUGCGGCUCAACCGCAAGCGGUCGUGGGAAACUGGUCGGCUAGAGUGCGGGAGAGGAGAGUGGAAUUCCUGGUGUAGCGGUGAAAUGCGCAGAUAUCAGGUAGAACACCGGUGGCGAAGGCGGGUCUCUGGGCCAUUACUGACGCUGAGGAGCGAAAGCGUGGGGAGCGAACAGG
RNAcentral lists this ribosomal RNA (253 nucleotides) under uncultured bacterium. RNAcentral's name for it is "partial 16S ribosomal RNA". It matches the Rfam family "Bacterial small subunit ribosomal RNA", at positions 524 to 776 of the family's 1533-position model. The record is from RNAcentral.